RNAcentral lists this small RNA (122 nucleotides) under Arabidopsis thaliana (thale cress). RNAcentral describes it as "ATSL213830". Lineage: Eukaryota; Viridiplantae; Streptophyta; Magnoliopsida; Brassicales; Brassicaceae. The record is from RNAcentral.
AUCCGAAUCCGUAGAAAUGAUUUGAGAAAGGAGUGAUAUGAGCUCCGACAGUGGGCUCAGCUCGGGAUUUAAAUCCAUGGAGUCAAAGAGUGAGAUUGCUUGAGUAACUAGUGACAUGAACU